GGGCAGUUAGUUUAAAAAAAACAUUUGAUUUCGGCUCAAAAGCUUAUGGUUAAAGUCCAUAAUCGUCCU
Molecule: transfer RNA, 69 nt
Filed under: Channa burmanica
Lineage: Eukaryota; Metazoa; Chordata; Actinopteri; Anabantiformes; Channidae
Description: tRNA-Arg
Rfam family: tRNA
About the family: Transfer RNA (tRNA) molecules are approximately 80 nucleotides in length. Their secondary structure includes four short double-helical elements and three loops (D, anti-codon, and T loops).
Source: RNAcentral